Centrocercus urophasianus (Greater sage-grouse) is the source of this 2417-nucleotide long non-coding RNA. RefSeq lists it as uncharacterized. The record is from RefSeq and is a predicted model, not a curated record. The transcript is spliced from 2 exons. Lineage: Eukaryota; Metazoa; Chordata; Aves; Galliformes; Phasianidae.
CAGCACCACGCCCGCCCCGCCGAGCGCACUCACCGCCUCUCCGCCGCGCUGGACUCUGGACCCCAAAUUCUGCUACUAAAUGCGCGGGGCUGAGAAAGGCUUACGUGUCGAGGGAGGAAAAAGGGCUGCUACGCAGAGCGUUUCGCCCUUCCAUAGAAUUCCAGCCACCGCGCCUUUCUCUAGACCUGCCGCCGAAUAUAUUUCAUGGGAAAAAUGCUCCUCGACCGCGCCGUGCGUAUGAAGGGUGCAGUACCCGUGAUCCUGGGUUGUGCAGAGUGCAGGUACUGCUGAUACUUGCUGGUUUUGAAAUCAGAUGCUCCGAUUUUGCUUAAAUUAUUAUUCACUUUGCAUCUUUGAGCCGUUACAUUGUAUUUAUUAAAAAAUAGAAAAUCAAAGCAAAAUUGCAUUAACAAAAUUAAACACUGAAGAUUGAUGGACUUGGUUAACUUCUCCCAGGAAAUGGUAAAUCUUACCAAGCAGGAAACAAAAUGCUCAAAAUUGUUUCCUUUUGAAACCUUCAUCAAAUGCAUCCUAAACCACUCCAACUUCCAUUUUCCAGCAAGGAUGCCUGAUCUUUAAGAUAAAAAAUGUGUAAGUUCUCUCAACGAACAUAACUUUAAAGGUAUUCAGAUGUAAUUGCAACAGGAUCAGCUGCCGUUGCCCAAGAAACCAUCUAUCCCAGCUGUGCUUGUUAAUUUCUCUUGCAAGAUGUCUCUCAUAGCAGGAAUACAAAGGCUCAAAGACAGAACCGAAACUGACAUUGCCUACUGGAAACCCGUAGGAGGUGGGCAGGGCACAUCCCCAGCACCUGUACUUGUUUAAAGCUUAAUCCAUUGCUGAACAAAUAAAUCAACCGCCAGGUAAGAAUUUGUGUAAAGAUCCGGACUGCUGAGGCUUGACUUCAGCUGGACUUGUGUCCUACGGCUGACUGACUCUGGCAGCACUUUGGUAACAAAAUUCCACAUGACAUACUCAGCUGAACAAAGCAGGAGAUCUUAAUCCUGCUUCCAACCUUCUUCCAGCAUCAAACAGAUGGACAAACAAAGACAGCAAUAGCACGUACACACAAUUUCUUAAUGAAAUUGGGAUUUAAAAAGCUCUCAUAUUUUACUCUGUUGUAUCAGUUUAUUCUUCACAUAGUGGAAUAUUUCAACCUGCCCUCUAUUACGUAUAUCUGGGGCUUCUGAUGAAACAGAAUAAACAACAAAGCCAAAGAACAGCAUGGUGGGAUCUUAAACCACUUUCAUAAUGGCAAACUAGAAAAGCCCAAAGAGAAUUUUCUUCAAAAAUUCACUUUCCAAUGAGCAGGCCUCAAUUUUUGCUUAGCCCUGUAUCACCAAAUUUAAAAUUUAUUUGUACAUAUCCUAUAUGUGCUUCUUUGUACGUAUUUUGUACGUACUUUGUACAUACCUUCCCCUUCCUAAGCAAAAUGACUGCAAUAACCAUAUUCCAUUCAAAUGAGCAGCGGGACUCUGGGGUGACCAAAAAUCUGUGGCACCAGCAAAGGCAGCAGUGGCUGUUCUCAAGCCCACAGGGACACAUGGAGAGGCAGGUCUGGCAAAGACUCUCUGCUUACAGCUCACAACCAGAAGCUCUGACCAACGAGAUCUAGUAUAUUUUUCAGCCUUGUCUUAAGGUGUUCUUUCUCCCAGCUGCCUGAGGUCAUGAUUGCUGUAGCAGAGCACAACAAUUAAAGGAGGUAAUUGUUUAAUAUGCCAGCUUGUGACCUGGAGGCUAUUCCAUCAAAGUGUGGUAGUACUAGCAGCAGGAUAAAGCAGGCAGAUGAGCAUGGUAGUGUCUUAAUCUGAACAGAUAACUCUGCCAGACCACCUAUCAGAGUUUUAAACCUCAAAAUAAGUCAUCACCUACAGAGUUAGGAAGCAUCUACAAGACAAGCCAGACACUCCCCAGACCUCUACAUCAGGCCUGUGUAGUACACAUCUUACCAAAUAGUUCCUUUGGCCCAGCACAGUGUGUGGGUGAAACUUGUCUGACCUGUCUCGCUGCUUGCACCUUGGCCCGCAAUGAGCACUGUCAAACACCAGAACCAAUGCUGUCUCUCAACAGCCACAUGUGCUUUGUUGAGCAAAGCUGACUGGAAAGCUGACAGAUGAUGAUGCACUGAGAAUUCCUGGCUGGCAACUGCUCUCCCUGUGGGAUCUCUCAUCCUUCUGACAAAAAGGAUUUACAGAUAAAAGAGAACCGGCUAAGGAGCUAGAAAUAUCCUGCAGGAAUAUUCUGAGCAUUGCCUAUACAUUUGGAAUUGGAUGUUACUGCAUACCUUCAGCAGCUUCAACUUGGAUGUCCUACGUCCACGCAAACCCCAAGAAGUAUUCUGUGCAAACAUACUAUGCCAGUACUGCAUGGGCAAGGAAACUCCAACAAAAAUCAAGAGAGUAAAUUUACACUCUCAUAAA